Molecule: ribosomal RNA, 744 nt
Filed under: Lactococcus lactis
Lineage: Bacteria; Bacillati; Bacillota; Bacilli; Lactobacillales; Streptococcaceae
Description: bacterial SSU rRNA
Rfam family: Bacterial small subunit ribosomal RNA
Source: RNAcentral
ACUAGUGAUUUUUGAGCGGGGGACAACAUUUGGAAACGAAUGCUAAUACCGCAUAACAACUUUAAACACAAGUUUUAAGUUUGAAAGAUGCAAUUGCAUCACUCAAAGAUGAUCCCGCGUUGUAUUAGCUAGUUGGUGAGGUAAAGGCUCACCAAGGCGAUGAUACAUAGCCGACCUGAGAGGGUGAUCGGCCACAUUGGGACUGAGACACGGCCCAAACUCCUACGGGAGGCAGCAGUAGGGAAUCUUCGGCAAUGGACGAAAGUCUGACCGAGCAACGCCGCGUGAGUGAAGAAGGUUUUCGGAUCGUAAAACUCUGUUGGUAGAGAAGAACGUUGGUGAGAGUGGAAAGCUCAUCAAGUGACGGUAACUACCCAGAAAGGGACGGCUAACUACGUGCCAGCAGCCGCGGUAAUACGUAGGUCCCGAGCGUUGUCCGGAUUUAUUGGGCGUAAAGCGAGCGCAGGUGGUUUAUUAAGUCUGGUGUAAAAGGCAGUGGCUCAACCAUUGUAUGCAUUGGAAACUGGUAGACUUGAGUGCAGGAGAGGAGAGUGGAAUUCCAUGUGUAGCGGUGAAAUGCGUAGAUAUAUGGAGGAACACCGGUGGCGAAAGCGGCUCUCUGGCCUGUGACUGACACUGAGGCUCGAAAGCGUGGGGAGCAAACAGGAUUAGAUACCCUGGUAGUCCACGCCGUAAACGAUGAGUGCUAGAUGUAGGGAGCUAUAAGUUCUCUGUAUCGCAGCU